GAUGAACGCUGGCGGCGUGCUUAACACAUGCAAGUCGAACGGAAAGGCUCCUGCUUGCAGGGGUACUCGAGUGGCGAACGGGUGAGUAACACGUGGGUGAUCUGCCCUGCACUUCGGGAUAAGCCUGGGAAACUGGGUCUAAUACCGGAUAGGACCACAUUUUGGAUGGUGUGGUGGAAAGUUUUUCGGUGUGGGAUGAGCUCGCGGCCUAUCAGCUUGUUGGUGGGGUAAUGGCCUACCAAGGCGCCGACGGGUAGCCGGCCUGGGAGGGUGUACGGCCACAAUGGGACUGAGGUACGGCCCAGACUCCUACGGGAGGCAGCGGUGGGGAAUAUUGCACAAUGGGCGCAAGCCUGAUGCAGCGACGCCGCGUGGGGGAUGACGGCCUUCGGGUUGUAAACUCCUUUCGCUGGGGACGAAGCGUAAGUGACGGUACCUGGAGAAGAAGCACCGGCUAACUACGUG
Molecule: ribosomal RNA, 465 nt
Filed under: uncultured bacterium
Lineage: Bacteria
Description: partial 16S ribosomal RNA
Rfam family: Bacterial small subunit ribosomal RNA
Source: RNAcentral